AGCAGCCGCGGUAAUUCCAGCUCCAAUAGCGUAUAUUAAAGUUGUUGCAGUUAAAAAGCUCGUAGUUGAAUUUCGGGAUCAAAUUGUCGGUCGUGCCUCGGUACGCACUGGUAUUAUUGGUUCCUACCUUCUGAAGAACCGCGAUGUCAUUAAUUUGGUGUCGUGGGGAAUCAGGACUGUUACUUUGAAAAAAUUAGAGUGUUUAAAGCAGGCUUACGCUUGAAUACAUUAGCAUGGAAUAAUGAAAUAGGACGUUUGAUUCUAUUUUGUUGGUUUCUAGGAUUGACGUAAUGAUUAAUAGGGAUAGUUGGGGGGCAUUAGUAUUCAAUUGUCAGAGGUGAAAUUCUUGGAUUUAUUGAAGACUAACUACUGCGAAAGCAUUUGCCAAGGAUGUUUUCAUUAAUCAAGAACGAAAGUUAGGGGAUCGAAGACGAUCAGAUACCGUCGUAGUCUUAACCAUAAACUAUGCCGACUAGGGAUCGGAUGAUGUUAAUUUUUUUAAUGACUCAUUCGGCGCCUU
Molecule: ribosomal RNA, 520 nt
Filed under: uncultured Glomus
Lineage: Eukaryota; Fungi; Glomeromycota; Glomeromycetes; Glomerales; Glomeraceae
Description: SSU rRNA
Rfam family: Eukaryotic small subunit ribosomal RNA
Source: RNAcentral